RNAcentral lists this ribosomal RNA (816 nucleotides) under Borreliella afzelii. RNAcentral's name for it is "bacterial SSU rRNA". It matches the Rfam family "Bacterial small subunit ribosomal RNA", at positions 44 to 859 of the family's 1533-position model. The record is from RNAcentral. Lineage: Bacteria; Pseudomonadati; Spirochaetota; Spirochaetia; Spirochaetales; Borreliaceae.
GCGUCUUAAGCAUGCAAGUCAAACGGAAUGUAGCAAUACAUUUAGUGGCGAACGGGUGAGUAACGCGUGGAUGAUCUACCUAUGAGAUGGGGAUAACUACUAGAAAUAGUAGCUAAUACCGAAUAAGGUCAAUUAAUUUGUUAAUUGAUGAAAGGAAGCCUUUAAAGCUUCGCUUGUAGAUGAGUCUGCGUCUUAUUAGUUAGUUGGUGGGGUAAAUGCCUACCAAGACGAUGAUAAGUAGCCGGCCUGAGAGGGUGAACGGUCACACUGGAACUGAGAUACGGUCCAGACUCCUACGGGAGGCAGCAGCUAAGAAUCUUCCGCAAUGGGCGAAAGCCUGACGGAGCGACACUGCGUGAAUGAAGAAGGUCGAAAGAUUGUAAAAUUCUUUUAUAAAUGAGGAAUAAGCUUUGUAGGAAAUGACAAAGCGAUGACGUUAAUUUAUGAAUAAGCCCCGGCUAAUUACGUGCCAGCAGCCGCGGUAAUACGUAAGGGGCGAGCGUUGUUCGGGAUUAUUGGGCGUAAAGGGUGAGUAGGCGGAUAUAUAAGUCUAUGCAUAAAAUACCACAGCUCAACUGUGGAGCUAUGUUGGAAACUAUAUGUCUAGAGUCUGAUAGAGGAAGUUAGAAUUCCUGGUGUAAGGGUGGAAUCUGUUGAUAUCAGGAAGAAUACCGGAGGCGAAGGCGAACUUCUGGGUCAAGACUGACGCUGAGUCACGAAAGCGUAGGGAGCAAACAGGAUUAGAUACCCUGGUAGUCUACGCUGUAAACGAUGCACACUUGGUGUUAACUAAAAGUUAGUACCGAAGCUAACGUG